Long non-coding RNA from Myzus persicae (green peach aphid), 1102 nucleotides. RefSeq lists it as uncharacterized. The transcript is spliced from 3 exons. The record is from RefSeq and is a predicted model, not a curated record. Lineage: Eukaryota; Metazoa; Arthropoda; Insecta; Hemiptera; Aphididae.
CGGAAAUAAAUAUUACCACCUAACUUAAGUGUUGUUCACCGUCCAGCAGUCGAAUUAUUAUUCACCGUUUUAUUGUCCUAAAAAUUAAAACCAAUCAAAGUAAAUUUGCCAUAAUUGGAUUUUUAAAUGAACAAUUUAUUGAAGUGGUAUCAUGUAAGUGGAUUAAAGUUGAUCAUAAUAUAUAUUAAAGCGUUUUAUUUGUUGUUGGCCUGGAAGCAAAAAUGUAUCUAAGUUUGCUUUAUCACAAAAAAAUCCAGUCAAUUCGUGGGAAGAACACGACUGUCUUCCACGUAAAUUUUUCGGUUGGUAAAAGUAUACAAUUAUUGUAAUGUUUAAUUUGUUUAAAUUUGAAUUUUAUUUUUCUAUUGACAGAAAAAAUUAUUACAUUUCUGUUACGCCAGCUCAAUAAAAAUAGAAGAGACAGAAAACCGUAGAAAACAUAUAAAGAGAAAACAUUUUAACUCAUCUAGCAGUGUUGAAGGUCUUAAUAAUUAAUCUAAAAAAGAAAAAUUGAAUACCCAUUUAUGUAAUUUUUUAAAUUUUUUUUUAAAUAUUACCUAUAGUUAAAUUAAUACUUUAUUGGUUUUUUAUUUUUUCGGGUAAACAAAGAACACAAAACAAAAAAGUAUUCCUAACAAUUGAUUCAAAUUACAGUGAUGAAAGUGACUCAAUAUUUAACAACAAAUUAAAAAGUUAAAAUAAAAAAUGUUGUAGAUACAGUUCCAGAACCAACAAAUUCAUUUAAUUUAUUCAAUUGUGAUGAAUCUGCUAAUGACUUGGAGUUUUUGCCUUUCCAAAUGUGGUAAAAUUAGUAAAAGAUAGUCAGCCAUUAACUAUCCGUGGUAAUAAUCUAUAUUAUCAUCAUUAAUCAAUUAAAUUGUUAAAUUUGUUCAACAAUUGCAUUUUUAAUUACUUACUUUUUACAAAUGAUCAUGUACCAGACAUUACUCAAAUGUUGAUAAAUAUUGGUCAUGUCUUAAAAAAUGUUGCAGGACAGAUAAAUGUAUUAAAAAAGGACAAUGAAACAUUGAAAGUAGACCUUGCCAAAAACCAAGAAUAUCUUGUUGAUUUAAUCAGAAUGGUGAAUAACAAAGAAUUUAAU